Ustilago trichophora is the source of this 92-nucleotide non-coding RNA. NCBI's taxonomy places the organism in Eukaryota, Fungi, Basidiomycota, Ustilaginomycetes, Ustilaginales, Ustilaginaceae. The record is from the annotation of a GenBank genome assembly.
GCGCCGAUAGUUUAAUGGUUAGAAUGCUUGCCUUCCAGUAAGUGAUAGAAGCUUGAUAGCAGGCGAUAGGGGUUCGAUUCCCCUUCGGCGCA